AGCGAACGCUGGCGGCAGGCUUAACACAUGCAAGUCGAGCGGGCACUUCGGUGUCAGCGGCAGACGGGUGAGUAACACGUGGGAACGUACCCUUUGGUUCGGAAUAACGCUGGCAAACUAGCGCUAAUACCGGAUACGCCCUUUUGGGGAAAGGCUUGCUGCCGAAGGAUCGGCCCGCGUCUGAUUAGCUAGUUGGUGGGGUAAUGGCCUACCAAGGCGACGAUCAGUAGCUGGUCUGAGAGGAUGAUCAGCCACACUGGGACUGAGACACGGCCCAGACUCCUACGGGAGGCAGCAGUGGGGAAUAUUGGACAAUGGGCGCAAGCCUGAUCCAGCCAUGCCGCGUGAGUGAUGAAGGCCUUAGGGUUGUAAAGCUCUUUUGUCCGGGACGAUAAUGACGGUACCGGAAGAAUAAGCCCCGGCUAACUUCGUG
RNAcentral lists this ribosomal RNA (433 nucleotides) under uncultured bacterium. Its description in RNAcentral is "partial 16S ribosomal RNA". It matches the Rfam family "Bacterial small subunit ribosomal RNA", at positions 29 to 507 of the family's 1533-position model. The record is from RNAcentral.